RNAcentral lists this long non-coding RNA (901 nucleotides) under Numida meleagris (helmeted guineafowl). RNAcentral's name for it is "lncRNA (ENSNMEG00000017621.1)". Lineage: Eukaryota; Metazoa; Chordata; Aves; Galliformes; Numididae. The record is from RNAcentral.
GAUCCCAUAACUUCACCAGGGAGGAAAACUCCCAGCUCCUGGGCCUGGAGACCAGCCAGCCCAUCAGCUCUUCAUCAAAGCAAUUAUCUCUUUUCACUCAAAGAGGAGAUGAGAGGGAAUGGGACCACUUGUAAGCCAGACAACCUCAUGAGUGUGGCACAUGGUAAAACACAAACCUGCUGACAGAGGCUGAGAGAACCAGGAGCCCUGUGCUAUGGGGUGCUGAGUGCCCCCCUCUGUCCCCAAAACGCUUAACACUUCUCGCGUAGUCACUGGCAAAACCCAUCUGGCAAGCAUCUGCCUGCUGGCUAGAGAAGUGCUUCAGCUGGUUUCAUUAAAUUCUAGCCUUAAACAAUGUGAGCUCCAAAGCAAAAUGUUGCUGUUAGCCUUGGAAACUGCAUCUGUCCUGAAACUGCCAGAGGUCUCACUUUUUGUAGUGAGCAAUCUUAUUUUCUUAAUAAAUGAGGACUGUCAUUUCCCCCCGCCUUUUUUAGCUCCCAGAGCUGGCUGUGCACAUUCUUGACUACGCGAAGAGUCUGAGGUUCUCUGCCAAUCCCAGGAAAGCAGGAGAACAUGGAUGUCUUCUUCAGAAGAGUUGUGGGCAAAAUGGAGACUUCCACCUCUGGGCAGGGGUGAAUGGCUGAAUAUCACCCAGCUUCACAAGGAUGCAGCAUGCCCAUGGUACAUGGCCUACUCCCCUGCUUGGCACAGGAGGCACCAGGAGCGCAGCCCAGCAGGACCGUACCACCAGGCUGCUCUCUGUCCUCUGCAGCCAUACCACCAUGAGGGCCAAGGACACACAUACAGGGUUUCACUUUAUGGAUAUCUGGCCUAGAGGCAGAGUGUGCUGCCUGGUGAGCCGCUCCAACCACCUGAAAGAGAUUAUUUCUUUUUUUAAAAG